UCAAUUUAUGGCAAGGACUAGGCAUUAAUUGUAGUGCAGUCUAUUGCACAGUGGAUUCAGUCAUUCAAUUUUCACAGCCACUCACAGUCACAGUGGUGCUAUCUUGGAAGUGAAAGUGUUUUCAUAUUUUCAUGUGGCCACUGGCCAGAGUCAACUAGCUGGAAUGCCUCUAUCUAUUUAUUUUUGCUGAUUAUUUAUUAUGAAAGUGAAAUUAGUAACUCCUGCUCAUUUAUUCAUUCGCUUUUAAUAUGAAUUUGCUUCAACUCAUUUUCAUCUGGUUACAAAUACAAUACCCCCAAAAGAAAAAGAAAAGCAAAAGCUUGGGCUUCUGCUUCUGCUUCUUCUCUCUCUUCCAUUGGAUUUGUUAAGAUCUCUUAGCUAGAGUCGCUUUCUUGUCUCUAACUCUCAUGAAAGAAAAUGACCCAUCAUCUUCUUUUGCAGCUACCUUCCCAUAUGAAUUAUGAAAUCAAACUUCUUUAUCUCCACCUUCCUUAUUUUUUGCAACUUAUUCUCUUUUCUUCUUUAUAACAAUUUCUUUUGUGUAUUUAUUUUCUACAAACAUUACCUGAGCUUUCUCUUAAACUUUUCUCACACUUGGCCCUCUUUGUUUUGCUCAGUGAAGUGUGAGUUAACAUAGUUAAUAACAUCACAGAAAGUUAGGGUUUCAAACUUCACGAUCAUUACUUGAGAUUUAGGGUUUCAGUGUAUGGAGAAAGCAAGGAUGCCCAGUUAAGUUGAAUCAUGUUCACUUUCUUUGAUUUGUGUUGUUUAUCUUUCUAACUACUUUCUUGUAUCAUGAUAAUUAAUUAAAUCUUAAUAUGCUCUUUAAUUUUAUUUUCAUAUUUAAUUAUGUUUUCUGGAGGGAACUUAGCAUAUCAUGUUCUUAGAUGUAUGCUUGACAUUCUUCCUCAGAACAUAACUUUUUGUUUGGAUUCCAAGAAUGAGAGAACAAGGAUUAAGAUUUAGGUGUCUGAUUUUAUGUAAAUUAAAUGUUGUUUUUCCUUUCUGAGGAUGUUUUGAUUGCAAAUAUUAUCAAUGUUUCUUCGUUUCAGAAGAUCAAGCAGAAAGAAAAUCCCUGAAGCAAUAUUUGCUAUUAAAUUGUUAGCUUGUUGAGUGAUUGCCUCUUUUUUUUUUUUUUUUUUCCUAUCAUAAUAUUACAUCACAGUUUGGGUCCCUACCUUGUUAUUUUCCUACUGGGUUAAUUAUCAUGUCUUGUACAUAGUAAUUGCCAAUUUCAAGGCACAUAUAGCUAACAUGUAUGAUUAAGCAGAAACUGUUUCUUGUGUAUGAUUGAAGCUGCAGUCAGAUUAACUCAUUAGCUUUAGCUUGAUCUCUUGAUAGUACCUCUCUAAUCCUGACUCCAAUUUGGGCAUUUUCAGCUACAUUGAAAUCUCUCCUAGCUAGCCUUGAUUUUGUUAGCACAAAAUUAGCCCUUGCUAUUGAAAGUUUCUUUUGCGCACACACACACACACACAUAUUGUUAGGAAUUAAUUGUGAUAAGCUAAGCUGAUUAAUUAAGCUAGUAGUUGGAUGAUAUACAUGUGUGUGUGUAUAUAUGAUGAAAAAAUGGUGUGAGGGAGCUUCCUUCAGCCCACUCAUGGAUGGGAAAAAGGGGACGAACUAGCUGCCGACUCAUUCAUUCAAGCACUCAGUAGACGUGCUUUUUUUGUCUCUACUGUGAUUGUGUGAAUGAUGCGGGAGAUAAUUUCCCUCCUCUCUUUUUCUGUGCUUGGACUGAAGGGAGCUCCUUCGUUCUAUUCCUUUCAUUCAUUAAUUUAAUUCUUACAUAUUUAUAUGCAAUUAAUUUCUCUACUUUAUUGUGAUAAUUAGCAUUGCUCUCAAAGUUAUUCCUGUUUCAUCUUUGCCUAGGAGAUGCACUUUCAACUCUAACUAAGUGACGGCUUGGUCUAAAAGCCUAAACUGACUGGAAAAACCAAAAUAAGGAGCAUGUUCAAGUUACCUUCACUCAUCAAUCAAUAUUUGAGAUGAUGAAUGGUUAUUGGUUAUUAUUAAAGAAUAAGGAGCAUUGAGUCUAGCCUGGAAUCGAGACUCAGAGACUCUCAGUGGAGCUAGGAUGGUUGAUCCAUUGAAUGAAGGAAGGAGAGAAGAGUUUAUCUUUUCCUUUGCCAAAAAAGCCAGAAACCACAGUCGAAUUUGCGGUGGGCUUCUCCACCAACCAAUCAAAUUAAUAACCUUUGCUUUUGAGUUUUGUCCGCUACGCAAACACAAACUUUCCUUUUGGUGGUUGUGAUGAGCUCGAUCCCUCUGCCACACUAGCUACUUGCACGGUGCAAUGCAAUCAGAUGAGGCAACUUUUACUGUUCAUCCCAAUUUUACAUUUUAGUCCAAAGCUUACUGAUCAUGUUGUUGUAUACUUGAUUUGCAGCAGUUUCAAAUACAUUGCUUUGCUUUUGCUUUUGCUUUUGCUUUUAUAUAUGUACAACAUAUAAUGUUUCUUGGGAGUAAAAUAAACUAAAAUCUAGGGUUUAUGACUGGUGAUUUGAAAAGUUGGUGAAAG
RNAcentral lists this long non-coding RNA (2518 nucleotides) under Citrus maxima (pomelo). Its description in RNAcentral is "long non-coding RNA (CMAX_LNC002982)". The stretch from base 1566 to 1761 matches the Rfam family "MIR159 microRNA precursor family". Lineage: Eukaryota; Viridiplantae; Streptophyta; Magnoliopsida; Sapindales; Rutaceae. The record is from RNAcentral.